GUGAUCUUGAAGGGACACGCAGGAAAGUGGCCCGAGGCCUGACGGACGCGGUGUUCUCAGUCAUGGGGUUCCUGCUGACAGGUGGCUGCUCCCUGCCCCACGGUUCUGCUCUGAGCAUCUCACAGCGUUGCUGUAAAUUGAAACUCUGGGGUGUCGACUAGGGAUUCCUUUAUGCCAGUAGUUUUGUAUUUAAAACUUUUAAUAAGAUUGCACGUAUUUAUUAAAACUUGUAAAAAAACACAGAAAACAUUAACUGCCGUGACCACCACCAAAACCUACCGUGAGGAUAAAGACAUCUUUGCGUGACUUAUGAUUGAACAGUCCGUGUGUGUGUGUGUGUGUGUGUGAGAGAGAGAGAGAGAGAGAGAGAGAGAGAGAGAGAGAGAGAAAUCCACAGAGGGGGAGAGAUUGAUUCUGAUUCGUAACCUUGAUCAGUUACAUCGUUCAACAAUAUGACGUUUAAUAAUAGUUCUGCAACUAUACACGUUUAGACAAACAUUGUUUUGGAAUUUUUUUAUACCUUUGUAAAUAAUCACUUAACAGAGAGGAGAGGGAAGAUGAAAGAAAAACUAUAAUUUCUACUUGGAAAAAUGGGCUGACUAAAAAGUUUUGUGAACAGUAUUCUUUGGAUUUAAGAGUAGUUUAGAAUUUACUUCAUUUUUAAAAAAUAUUUUUCAGCUUUUAAAAUAUAGUGCGUAAUUGUUCAGCAGUUUAUGAGAAAUAUGUGAUGGAAAGGAACUCUUUUUUGUAGAGCAAAGAAUAGCAUGGUUUUUACAGCUGGAAACAUUGCUUCUGAAAGACUGCAUUGAGAAGAUAAAACAAGAAGGGCUUCCCAUGCAGUGGUGAGCAGUUUCAAGUAUGUGUCUUUUGUGGGGGGAAAAUCAUUCAGCCAUGUAUGAGGCCACUGGAGCUUUUGUUACAUACUUUUAUUUUCCUCGUUUGAAGUUUUCGGACAUUUGGAGUCUUUAAUGUACAAAGUUAAAAUAGGCCUUUUGAGACAACCAUUUAGAAGUAGGCUGAUCAUGAAGAUGAUGCAAUACUUUCUGAAGUUGGAAGAAUUUACAAGAAGGAAGUUGUGGCUAUGUAGCAUCAGGUGCAUUUCUUGUUGCCGUUUCUCCUGCUUGGGGUUCCUUCCCAUGCUGUUUGGGGCUCCUUAACUGCCUGCCCUCACAAUGGAGUUGCUGUGUCCUUAUGGCCCUUAUGUGAAGGGUGGAGUAUUUGUAGUGAUGAGUGUUCUUGAGGGGUUCUGGUAAUAUUCUGCAUAAUAAAAUUGAUAGGAAUGUAUGUGGGAAAUACCAGAAUCUUCACAUUUUGUUUUUCAACACUCCUUUGGCAUCUUGGAUGAUAUAAGCUGUGUAGCCAAGUGGGCCUGAGGUCACAAUUUAGGAGUUUUGCUCUUUAGUUCUGUUGCUGUAAGAGGAAAGAAAAGUGUAGGGGGUAGCCCAGUGGUGGAGACUUUCUGUGGCUAUGUGAUUGCUAGCUUCUGACCCUGGGGAGGACUCCUGCGGUUGUUAAAAAGUAGACUUGGUUUGUGUGGGAGAGGAGUGCUAGGCAAGACCUUAAUCUUGUUCCUGAACUGUGGGAGUAUUGUCAUUCAUUCAUUCCUUGUAUUUGACUGUUUAAAAUGUCAGAAAUGAAGGUGGGAAAGGUGAUUUUCUUUGAGGGGUACAGAGGUAAAGGACUUUUGUUUUUGUCACACUCAUGACUAAUAGUGUCUUAAUGUUAUUGUCCAAUCUGCCUCUUCUUUCCAGAAUUCUGUGUGUGAGUAUUCUUAAAACAGAAUCAGUGAAGUCUAGAUUUCAGGCAUCUGUAGAUCUGGUGUCAGACACCUUGGGGAACAGCAGCAUACUUCAAGUCUAGAGAAAAAGUGGCUGUGACAACUGGCCUGUUUGGGGUCUUUCUAGGCAUGCCCCUGUGAGAGCUGUGCUGCAUUUCCUUGUGAAGUCCGCUUGUCUAAUCUUGGCUUGGUUUUUGCUUUUCCUGCUUGAAAUAAACCAUCCCUCUCCCUUUUUCUUUUCUAUUUCAAGAAGUGCUGGGCUUGUCCAUCUGAACUUUUCUUUACCCCAAGUACUUGGGGAAUGUGCAGAAAAAGAAUCAACACUUGUAUCCACUUCAUGUUAUUAAUUCCAGUGUCCAAUCAGUAAAAGAAAACCUUAUUUGGCAAGCUGGCUCAGGUUCCUAUUUAGUGCUGGUAAAUCAAUCAGGUCCUGAUCCUAAGGCUGAUAUGGAAGCCUUGCUUUUCAUUCACCUCACAUUUAACAAAUGUUUAAUUAGUCGUGUUAUCAAGACUGAUCGGUUCCUCAUCUUCAUUCUCAUCCUCAUCCUCAUCCUCAUCCUCAUCCUCAUCCUCAUGGCAGGGCAGGCGAGGAAGGUAUUUUAAGAAUUGCACAGAAUGACACAAAAUUGUUCAAUUCAAAUUAAAAGCUUUGAAUAGAAAGUAGUACUAGCCAGGUGUAGUGGUGCUUGCCAGAAAUCCCAGCACUUGAGAGGCUGAGGCAAGAAGAUUGCUGUGAGUUCGAGGCCAGCCUGGGCUACAUAGAGAGACCUUGUCUCAAAGAAAGAAAGUAGCACUUUAUGAAUUAUGAUAAUGUCUCAGAAAGAAUGAUAUAAACCCAGGUAGGACUAGGAUACUGGGUUUCUGACCUUGUCGGGUCAGGGGUGGUAUGGGACAGAGAUGGAGGCAAAGGAACGUGAUUCACCAGGGCUGACCAGUUCUGAGCAUGUGAGUGGGCCUGGCUGAACCGAGGAGGUGACUGUUUGGUUUGGCUGAGGGGAUAGGCUUUCCUCCCACUCUCCUCCUUCCUUCUGAAAUACAUCCCCAGCCCUUUUUCUGAGCCAGGCUUUCACUAAAUUCCUGUGUUGCCAGGACUGGAGUUAAAUUUGCUGUCCUUUCUCAGCCUCUGCUAGUGCUGGGAUCACAGAUAGGCACUGCAGUGCCUGAUGAUUUUCUAUCUGAUGAUUUUCUAUCGAGGAACUGAGGAUGGGACAGAACACUUUACAGUGUUUUCCGUUGUCCUUAGAGGACAGUAAGUCCCUGGUGGUCAUGGGAUGCCAAAGUCUGCAGGUGGAGGAAUCCUUCUUAAGUACGUGUGGUCAAGUCCCCUCAAGAAACAGGGCUGGAAGAAUGCAGAUUAUGACCAGCUGUUCUGCCUUUGGCUGGACAUAGGUACCCAGGCAUCGGAGGGUUUCUUCUCCAUAUUCUUUUCUCCCUUUUGUGGUCAGUGCCAAGUAAGUUACCCAGGGGUAUUUGAGGUGAGAACCCUGCACGGCUGCACACGGCCACAGCCUUGGGCUGCAGCAGUGGAAUUAUGGAUUGGGACAAGGUUCCACACCUGGUAUAAGGGAAAGGUUUGGAGCUUCGGGCAGGGCACAUCUGAUUUGGAGUCCAGCUCACAGCCUGUAACUUCCAGCAAGUCGCAGAACCACUGCGCUGUUCGUCUCUGUGCUCGUCAGGUAAACUUGGUGGUGCCCGUGUCACAGUGAAAAUAGCUGUGGGCGCCAAGGCCUUCAUCUGUGGUCCCUGAGAGUUGGUAGGUGACCUUUGGACCAUCAGCCUUGGUUGUUUUUUUUUUUUUUUUUUUUGGUGGUACGUAGGGCUUUGGCAUUGAGUUCCACAUCCAGCCCCUUUUUCACUUUUUUUGAAACAGAGUCAUGUUUGUUAUGCAGUUUAGGCUGGGCUUGAACUCACUGUGUAGUCCAGAUUGGCCUUGAAUUCAUGGUGAUCCUCUUGCCUCACCGUCCCUCGUUCUGGGAUACAGGUGUGUAUUACCGUACCCAGAUCUUUAUAUUUUAAUGUUUUUGAGUUUAUAUUUUAGUCUCCUCGAGUUGCUAAGUUUUCCAUUUUGGGCUCAUAUGUGCAGUUCUCCUGCCUCAGCCUUCCAGAGUGUUGAGAUUACGGGUAUGUGGCACUGUGGCUGACUGUAUAUAAUACUGUUAAGUACAGUUUUUGUGUGUGUGUACUGUUGGGCUGCAGGUUCUCUGCUGAAUGGUAGACAUGUAGAGAUGACUCAUGCUGCCUGGUGAAGCUUUAUACCCCUUAAUAGGUUACUCCCUAUUUCCCUGUCCCCUUGGUUCCUGACAGCCUCCAUUCUGCUCUCUCGCGUCUGUGCUUUAACUGUGCACGUACUUCAUGUAAAUAGAGCCGUACUGUGUUGAUCUUCUAUAUGGCGUGGUUCCCUUUGCAGAAUGUCCUCAAGGGCCAUCCCUGUUGCUGUGUGCUGCAGGGCUGGCUUCUUUCUAAGGCUGAAUCUGGCCUCUGCAGGUGUGUGUGUUGUGUUUUCUCUGCCCGUUCAUUUGUUGAUGGCUUUUUAGGUGUGUGUACAACACCAGAGGAAAACAUAGCAGGCCUACAUAACAUCAGUCUCAGCACAGUUUCAUGGAUGAGAUGUUGAGAACGUGGGCAGCAAAUGCAAAAAUAACCAGAUGGAACUGCAUGAGUUUUCAAAGCCUCUGUCUAGUCAAGAAAGUAAUUAACAGCGUGGACGGCAGUGACUUGUAAGAUGAGGGACUUGUAACCCGUGUAGCUAGAGAAGGUUAAUCUCCAGAAUAGAUAAGGAGCUUCCACAACUCCAUAGUGAAAAGCCUAGUAUUCUGAUUAAAGAACAGGUGAAAUAAUUGAAUUGAUGUUUCACCUCCAACCUUUUAAUUCAGGUUUUUAGUAGAGUAGCUGCAGAGUUCUCAACAUGUUGGCUUGGGGACACUCAGAGGGAAAGGGACUGUGUUGCUGUCUUCACCCAGUUCUGCAUUUCUCUUCCUGCCUUCAGGAGAGUUUUAAAGCUAGUGUUGCUUUGCUGCCCACAUUCCCUCUCAUAUUCUAUUCUUGGGCAUAAGUUUUGACAUCUUCCUAAAGUGUCAUAAUAAAUGUGCAGAACAGAGGGUGUGGUACUGUGGUGUUGACAGUAACAUGUGAAAUACAUUCUGAUUUCCUGAGAGUUAGUGUUUCAUCCAGGUUUUCAAAGCAUCUGGGCCUGAUGGAGGCUAACAAGCUUAUAAAACUCAUUGUAAAGUCCUGCAGCAUAAAUAAUCAGAAGUCGUUUAUGAGCAUCUAUUGUAGAUACAUUGAAAUUCUCAUGUCCUAGACAAGAUAUGUCUAUGUAUGACUUGAUGUUACUUGAAAUAGAUAAACUAUAUUCAAAGUUCUUUUCUCAGUGAUUGUAGAGAAUGGUUUGGAAAGGAGUAGGCCAGGACUUAAAUUUCCUGAACUCUUAGCCUAAGCUCACCUUGACUUAUAGCAUAUGAUUUUUGAACAAGCCAUUUAGUUGUCUUCCAACGUCUUCAUCAGUAAAUUGGAGACAGUCACAUGUCCUUCCUUCUUAGUGUUGUCUUGAGGGUAAGAUUCAGGCAUGUUUCCUUGAUUGGGAAGCAGUGCCUUGUGACUAAGUUAUUAGAGAGUUCUUUAGGGUUGUUGUAAUGUGUGGGUCAGCUUCAGGAGGAGGAGAGGCAGGCAGGGCCCAGAACGGAAAGGAAAGUCAGCUGCAUCUUUCUGGAGAAUCCUGGGGCUCCAGAUCCUUGUGAUUUUCCUGUGUUCCUGGAAUGGGAGAAAUCUCAGAGGUUAUGGCCAGUGAGACAUAGAUUUCAACCUGGGUUAUUAGGGCUCCUGUAGUUUUUAUCUGUGAAAUGCAAUGAUAACACAACAAAUGUAAUAAAUGGCAGUAUAAUUGUUACCAACCAACUGAGCAUGUCCUAUGUGGUAGGCAUUGUGUUGAAUGCCAGCUGACAUUUGUUUCUUCCUUCAAUGGGUAUUUGAUGAUGCUGCUAUAUGCCAGGUGCUGCUACAGACUCAAAAUCAGGGGGUAGGAUGGGGGUCAGACAGAAAACAAGCUAACUGCACAGUUUACAUGGUAAUGGGAUGUCAGAGUAACUGCACACAUAUAUUCGCUAUCAAGAAGACUAAAUCAGGUCAGAGAGCUGGAGGCUGAUGGGAGGGGAAGUGGUGGUUUCAGCAGGGUGAGGUCCCUCUAGGGAGGAGAAUUUGAGAUCUGAAGGAAGGAAACGGACGAGCCUUACUCAAGCUUGGUGUUAAAGAAGGGGGCACAGGCUAGAGUAGGUAGAACCAGAUGGGCAGGGAGGCAGGGGAUGGGAAGUAGGGUCUGAGCUGGGCAGUGCAGGAGAAGCCAUGGAUUCUGAGCAGGGAAUGGAAGAAAUUGACCUAAUGUUUUAUAAUGUUCCUUUGGGUAAUGGUUGCAGGGGCCAGCAUGGAAGCUGAGAGACCUAAGUGGGGCCAUUGCUGCAUCUGGGGCAUUGCUCCAUCUAAUGAAUGGAUGGAGGUAGGGAAAUGUUUGGAUGCUUGAUGUAUUUUAAAGAUGGAACCAUCAAAACUUGCACAUGGAUGUGGAGCUGGUAUUCAGGAGAGAAAGGAGUUGACAGUGGCACAGUCAGGGGUAAAGGAUUGACACCAUUUGUCAAUGUGGGAAGACUGGCCAAGGUUUUUUUUAAUAAUGUGCUCAGCAGUCUCUGAAAUUCUUUAGUAUUUAUUUUAUUCCCAUUUUAGAGAUGUAGAAACUGAAGAUUAGAAAAGCAUAAAGUUUGCCUAGGGUUAGGAGUGACUUGGGCUCAAGCCCUGCAUUUUCAUCCCAGUUCUGUUCUACUUUGUAAAUAUCUGAAUCUCUGAAUUUAAAAUGCCAGAUUCAUGUGAGUUGCUUGUGCAGAUGCUUUGGAAAUGCAUCUAUUUUUUAAUGCAUCUUUUACAUUCCUUUCAGGUCACUCAUUAUCAGUGUACAGUUUGAUAGUUUUGAGUACAUUUGGAAGACUGGGCAGUCAUCAUCCUAAUCCAGUUUUAGAUUUCCCGGUUUCUGUUUCCAUCCUCAGCUUUAGGCAACUAUUUAGGCAGUUUGUUUUCACUCUCUAGAAUUUUGCCUUUUCUAGAAAUUUCAUACACUCUGACCCUUUGUGCCCCGCUUUGUUCAUUUAUAUGAUGUUUUUGAGGUUCAUCCACUGCUGCAUAAUACAUCUGUUUUAAGACACAUUCUUGACCUUUCUCAGAAGGAGGUACUCUGUUUUCAAUUGAGAAACAUAUCUGGGAUUCUUAAGGUGAUGAUAAAAAUAACAGCACUGGGGGCUGGGGAUUUAGCUCAGCAGCAUAAGCGCCUGCCUUGCAAGCACGUGGCCGUGAGUUCCAUCCCUGGUACCGAUAAAAAGAAAAAAAUAACAGCAUUUAUUGAGCAAAUAUUAAUGCUAGAUUUGGUUCCAUUAUUUUUCUUUUGUAAUCUUUCAAGUGAUUCCAUGAGAGAGUGCUAUGAUUAGUAUAUUACAAAUGAGGAAGCUAGUGCCUAAAGACCUUAAAAGGCUUGAGGAUGGUAAGACCUGAGAUUAGUCUGGGUCCUGGUCUCUGCAGAACUGCCUCUUGGCCUCCCGCCAUUCCUGUAAUGAUAGAUUGAGAGCUGGUACAUCUUAGCUGCAGAGAGGGCUGGGAGUCCCACUUUGAGUAACGCACUUACCAGAUAAAACAUGGUUUUUAGGAAAAUAUUUGUCCUGCAUUUUUAUUUUGGUGUUACUGUAGAGAAAUUAUAAUGCUGUACAGUGAUCCAUUUGUGAGGUAAUUUUCUUAGUCAUGGUGUCAGAAUAGCACUAAAUUAAAACACAUAAUUAUGUUAUUAGACAGAGCUUGCAUGUUUGAGUAGUGUUUUAAAUAUUGUGUGCACCAGAAAUGCAUUUUGGUGUGAAGUAUCCUAAGGCUGUUUAUUACUUUAUUAUUAAUGAAUGGAAUUAAUUAAGCAUCAUGAACUUUUCAAGAUACUGAUGUAAUUAUGUAUUAAUGCAUUUCUCUUGUUCUGUCAAUAUACAUUUAAGCAGUGUUUUUCCCAUCUACAUAAUGUCUAUAUUGGAAGAUUUUAUGUUCUGUAUUAUAAAGGAAUUGUUUGUGUAUCAAAAGAAUUCUGAAAUUUUUGAAAAUAAUUUAAAUACCUCAUACACAUAAUUACCUUGAUCACACCUACUUAUAUAAAUUUGUUCAUGGUGAGCAAUAAACUUGGAAUGAGGACUAAUGUCUUAGUUGCCUUUCUCAUUGCUGAGAAAAGAUACCCAACACCUGAAGUUAAGGAAGGAAGAAAGAUUUACUUAGCUCACAGUUGGCUCAUAGAGAUUUCAGUCCGUAGUUGGCUGGCUCCAAGGCAGGGUGACUUGGCAGGGGAGAGUAGUUUGUGGCAGGUGGACUGUGUAUAGCAACAAGGGGAAGACAAGGUUCUUUCUGUCCCUUGUAUCACAUCUACUGGGACUAGGGAGGUGCCAGUCCAAUCAGUGGACUGGUUUAGUAAGCACAUCCUUUUCAUCCUGGCAUUGAACCAUGAAAUUAAAGUUGCAGUAAGACUUCAUUUGUACACAUGACAUUUAUGUCCUAUGUGCAGAGUACAUGUAUAAAAAGACAGAAAUCAAAGCAAACUGAAAAACCUCUAGGGUGCAAGUGUUAGUGUAGAAUGCUGCUCUAGAUGCAUUAAUCUGACUUGUGUCUUGAAUGUUUUUUCUAUUUUUUUCUACUCUUAUCUCGUAGGUGGCUUGAUGGCUUUAAAUGCUGAUUUCUUGGUGCAGAGCACCAAUUUUCUCAUUUUUUACAAGCAUAGUUUUCAGAAGCAGCUCUGGGCUGGCAGAAAUGUAUUGACAAAAACUGCCAAGGCGAGGAACUUGCAAGUUUCUUCUUGUGAUAUCUCCAGGCACUGCUACCAAGUCCAGUCCUCUGACCUGAGGGUCUCCCCUUUCUAAGCUAGGUGGGACCUUGCUGCCCUAGCCUGGUUUCUGCUUCUGGGCUCUGCCCUUUCAGUGGGUAGCAGUGCUGGCAUGGCAAAAUGUGCAGUCUGAAAAAUCAGAUGACAAAAGGUGGGGGAAUCCCAGCAACCUGUUGAACUCCUUACCAGCCCAUUGUUGAUUUAUUUGAACUAGGAUCUAGAAAAAAGCCUACACAGUGCAUUUGACUAUUAUGCUGCUUAAUGGCUUUAUAAGUGGAGAAGAGCUUUUCUUUUUUCACUUGUCUCCCCGCAUUACUGGUUUAUUGAACAGAUCAGGUCACUUGUCUAGUUGAGUGUCCCACAUUCUGAAUUUGGCUACUAGUUUGCUUUUAAAACUUGUUCCACAAGUCCUGUAUUUCUGUAAACUGGAACUUGGCACUGACACGUGAUUGGAUUCAUAGUAGGCAGAGUUCACUUGUUGCUGGUGUUAUCUGUUCUGUGCUUUGUUAUCCCAGCACAAGGUUUGGUUGUCUACUCAUAGUGAUGUGACCAUUGAUCAUUGGGUUUCUGUCUUGGUUCCUUCAUGCUUCAUGGUGGAUUUUCCCUGUUGACGUAUUCCCAAUGUCAUCAGCAUGCAUUGAUGACAGUUGCUUGAAUUAAUUAUCUCAAGAGAGAUCAGUUAAGAGCAUGUUAGUGUGAGAAGAGAUUUAAAACUGGCUAUCGAGUCCAGGAAAACUGUCAACAUUGAUGCAACUUAGGGAUGUUAGAGACUUAAUGGGUAAAAGCAAAGAGUGACUUGGCUUUUCUAGUGGUUGUGGGUACUUCCUAUUAUUAAAAUUAAUGGCUGUUUGCAAAUCUUUAUGAAUGAUAGUGUGUCAGUUUAAUUGUAUUAUAGAUCUUGUUUAACAGCAAUAUAAAAUUCUGUGCACAUAUGCUACCUACGUGCUAAACAUAACAUGAUUACCUGUUCACUACCUAUAACAUAAGAUUAUGAGAUACAUAGUUCUAUAGUCCACAGUACGUUAUCUUUUUAAGUGAUUAUUUAAAAUUUACUGACACAUAUAGACAUUUAUGUCCUGUCUUUUUAAAAGAAGUAUCUAUUGAUGAGUUUAUAAGAACAAGAGAAGGAUGAUAAAACUAAAAUAGUUUUCUCUUCUGCCAAGAUGUAAGAGAAAUGGUCCCUUAAAGGUACCUUUGAACUUCACUGUUUAGAAAAGAUGAAUUAUUGCAGCGUUUCCAGUGAAAAAUAGUUGAGAGGCCUCCUAAAGGGACUUGGUCAUAGCAGACGAAAUUUAUUUAUGUAUCCUCCAUUAUCACUGGGGUAUAUCAUGACAUAGGACCCCAGAAGUCUGAUGUUUGAAGGCCAUUGGUAUGGAAAUGGGUUGAUUUCUCCUAUCAUUGGCAGAUCAUCCUUCUAACAGUGUGCUCCCAGAAACCACUUCGUGAGAAAGGCUUUGUAAAAGCAAGUCCUAGGAGUUGGGUGUGCCUCCUAUGGGCAUGUCUCAUAUUAGGAGUCCUGUUUUUGACCAGACACUUGGUAUAAAAUAAAUCAUGGCUACCACCAGAAACAGUAAAGCAUAUAAAAUCUGAAAUCCUAAAAGAAUUUGAAAUUGAAAAUGACUCUGUGUUGUCAGAGAGGGUUUGAGCAUAGAGAAGCCAUGACAGCCAAGAGUUAUAGGAUCUAGACUUCUCAUUUUUAGUGAAUAAACUAACCCUUCGACGUACUAAAUAGCUUGCUCAACACCACACAGGUAAUGAUGGGUGGAGUUGGAACCAAAACUCACCCAGAGUAAUGAUCACUAAAACUUCAGUGUUACUCAUAGACAUGCCUAAUGCUUUACAUGCUUCUCUCUCUCUUUUUUAAUCCUAAUAACGACUUUGUAAUACAGGACUGUGCCUGGCUGUCUUUUGCUGAGAAGCACACUGAGGCAUAAAGAUAUUCAGUAACUUACGUGUGAUCACAUAGGACUCAGAUACAUUCAUUAUAGAGAAUACUAUAUUCCGUUACCCACUCUGUAGUCCUUUCUCCUUCCUUCCUUCCCAUCUUUUUUUGUUUUUUUCCCCAUGCACCCUCUUACUAUUUUUAAGUUCAUUAUUUCUUAUUAAAAGAAUGCUUUUUCUUAAUGACCUAUAAACAUGACCUAAUAGGGUUUUCCAUAAACUCUUAAGAUCUAUACUUUUUAAAAAAAUCAGCCCAUUUGUUAUGAAUAUGGUCAAUGGAACGUGAUAUGCUUGCUGGAAUAAGUAUUUUUCAAUAGUAAUUUCACUUUUUUUAACGUUAAAAAAGCUUUUGUGUCCUCAGGACUUUUAAAAGAUGUCUAGAAAGGUUUGAUGGGAUAGUGUCUUAAUAAAUGCCCUGAGCCAAUUCAGAGCUUUAAAAAUAAUUCUUCUGAUCAUUCUUUAAAUUUAAAAAAGUCAUGUUUUACCUUUAGAUGUUUGGAAGCAUCAUCAAGAAGCUUAGUGGCUUGUGGUCUGGGCCAUCCUCAUCCUUCUGUCCUCCUCCCUCCCUCUCUUCAUAUCCUGGGCAGUCCUGAGCAGUUCUGCAGCUGGAACGUGGGGAGGGUUCAGUGACUUCAGGGGCAUGCACAAGGUGGCAGUUUGGAAACCAUGAGGAUGAGAAGCCAUUAUCUUGCAGUGGAAGAGGACAUUAGUUGGUUUUCUGAAUGUUAGUCUCUCUUUUAUUUCUUUCUUGUUAUUUUUUUUUUGAGGCAGGGUCUCAUGUCCUUAAGCACGGCCUUGAACUCUUGAGGCUUGUAUGAUCUUCUUGCCUCAGCUUCCUGGGCAGUGAGGACUCAGGCACAAUGCCCAGAUAACCUUCCUAUUCCUCAAGACUGCUUAUGAGGCCCCGCUUUUCUCUGACCAUGCUGCCACAGAGAGCCCAGUAUGGAUGCCUCAAGCGUACUAAUUAAAAUGGUAACCUGUGUUCAGUGAGUGGUGAGGAGACAGACAGAUCCUGAUCAGGUUCCAGAAAGCAUUCACUUAGAGUGACCUGCACGCUGAUCCAUGGGUGCCUUGAAACAGUCUGAUAAAAAUACAUUUGGCUUACAAAUACCCAUAGAUAUGCCUGGAGGAGGUUUGCUAUUUUGAUUUCAUACUACAACUGAAGUCCGUGUGACUCUACCAAGACUGUUUUCUCUCUACUACACUUACACAAGAAACUAAAUAGCUCACACAUGUAGCCUGGUACAUGUUGCAGGCACACACUAGUGAACCAUAACACUUAGCUGACUAAUUUCAAACUCUGCCUAUUUAUAGCCCCUUCAGAGCUGUCAUCAGACAGCUGGUGGUAUGUUCACAUCAUGUGGACUCACAGGGCUUUUUAAGUGGAGAUAAAUUGUUUUCACUUCAGGGUGGAUCAUUUGGCAAUGUUUCAGUGUGAGCCCUGACUGGAGUUUGCAGCAGUCCUUGUAGGACUGAGCACAGGACCAUGCCCUAGGAAACAUGCAGCUCUCUUUCUUUGUAGACAGCUCUGAAGCGUAAGACCUCCUUGGUGCACACCUGGGCAUAGGGCUCCCUUCCUUCACUUCUGACUUCACCAUUUCCUCUGUCUCACCCAUCAUGCCUCACCCUAUCUGCAUUGUACUGCCACUUGUCACCACAGAAGAAUAAAAAUAUGAUCCGGAAACUAAACUUCUUAGUUAUCAGCAUGGUAAUGACAAUUUUAUUACGAGAAUAAUGUUUAACACCGUGCCUUAAGGCUGCCUUUUUUAUGUGUAUGCAUAAGAAAUUCUUGUUCACACUAAUGGAAAGUUUGCAAAUAUUAAAUGUUUAAAACACUUAAGUGAGUGGGUGAGGAUGCUCUUUGCCAGCUGUCGUCUCUUGUCCAUAUUCUCAUGUCUGUCCAGUUACCUACUGUUUGAAUUCUAAUGAAUGUUUCACAGUGUACUCUACAGAGCUCUUGUCUCUGUUUUUAGAUGGCUGUCAGUUGUGCUCAGUUUACUCUGUAACCUUCAGGGCACGUGCAUACCACAGAUCUAGAGCACACGUCUCUCCUGCCACAUCCUCUUCUCCUGGGAACGUCCCUUGGUACGUUGCUCCACCUGUGGUGUUGGUAGCAGGGACUGUGGCUCAUGGGAAUGGGGAAGAGAGGAGGGAAUAAAGCCUCACCUCCUUUCACUUCUCAGCCUGAUCUUAGGUGAUUUGGAGCAUCUUCCUUUGAUGUGAGUGCCUGGAAAGUGGUGUGAGGGAGCAGAGGUUAGUGUGGUGGGGUCCAGUGUACAGUGGGCCAUCCUGGUGCCGGCUUUCAUUGUGGAGAGAGCACUACAUGUGUUUUCUUUUUUCUUUGUUGGGAUGAAAGGGUUGAUGCUCUUCCUUGAAUGUCCACCAGCUGUUUUAUAUAGAUACCAGCAUCUUUAGGCCAUUGUCAGUCCUGAGACCCUUUGUUUAUGGUGAAAUGAAAUGGAAGGCUCUGAGGACUUGAGGGCUGUGGAGUGAGAACACCAUUGUCACCUGGGAGGUGCUUCUCUCUCUGGGGUUCCUGUAGCCUCUUGAUUGCUGCUGUGGUUUUGAUUUCUGGUUAGGAACUUUGUGGGUAAGGGGCCAUGUCAUUUUACUCUCUUGUGUCCCUAUAGGUCCUGGGUAGAGUAAGCACUGUUCAAAGUGCUCGGUGCUGUGCUAGGUCAGGCACUGACCCACUGACUGCCUUUGACACUGUGUGUGCUGUUUUUCCCAGUGGGGCUGCAUAAACCUCCUCAAGUCUGCCUUGUGUCACCUCCUCAGCCUGUCCUUAAGCUCAUUCCCUGUUGGCAUCUGGAAUCUAUAGGGGUAGCUAAGCAGUUCCUUUUAUGAGGCAGUAUCUACUUCUGUGUUUGUAACAUUUUUAGCCCCACAUUUUCUGAGCUCAAAAGUCCUUUUCCUAAAGAUUGCGUUGGAACUCAUCCAAGUGAUGACCAUGACAAGAAGUACCUUUUGGGAAAGGCUUUGUGUUGUAUCCCGGACCUUGCAUCCCAGGAGGUGGCCUUGGGAUUCCUGCAGGAGUCUGAGCAAGGUUGAAAUACAGAUAUUCCUAGUGAGUGGACAAUUUUGGCCUUCUCUCCCUUCACCUCUGGAGCUUCCUUCUCUGUGAACUUUUCCUUCAUGGCAGCUGUGCUGUCAGUAAAUGCACAGGUUAAUGGGGUGGGGCCUCUUCUUCCUCUGUCCCCACCCACGCUAUCUUUAUGAUUCGGGUGGAGUGAGAUGUCCGGCCACAACUUCCGUGACCCUGCUCUAAAAACACAAAGGGAGAGAGCUGUGCAGUAUGGUUGGGAUCUCCCAUAGCAAAACAUAUUAAACGUAGAAGGGCGCAGCUGCUAAGUGGGUGCCUGCAAAGGUACACCUGCUCUUGUCCUGUUGGCAGAGCUGUGUGGUUUGUGUUGUGGUUCUGCAUUUCACAUCACUCAUUGUUAACGAGCAGUAGUUUUCCUGCAGUUAACUUAGUUCUAGGUUAUGCAUGUCUCCCUCGAGUGUCCUGCCUCUGGAUCUUAAAUAAGACCGUGACUCUCACACGGAAAUGGCUACAUCCUCCCCUGUCUCCCUUGGCAACUUAGGCCGGAUGAAUAAUUCUUCUUUUUCCAGAUUCUUUAAAUUUAGAAGCAAUAUGAGUUGACCAGUUCUGAAAUCAGAGUGUGUGGGCUGGUCUUCGGCGGCUGCAGUUUGCCAACUUGUGAUUUUGGGCAAAUGAAUUAUCUGAUUUUGUUUCCCGAGCAGGGAGAGGGAGGUAAUGAUAGUGCCUCCUGCACUGAGUUAACAGUGUUGAAUUACUGCAUUAGCAGUGUGCCUGUGGAGAGUGAGCACUUAGAGAAAUGAUAACUAGGUGUGAGCACUUAGAAAAUGGUAACAAGGUGGCUGUGUUGUUGGUAGUGUAUACUUCAAAGUUCGGGCAUUGCUUUUAGAGCUGUUGUCUGUCUUCUGGUGGUCUGGUCACUGUCUGUUCUCUACCUGUGGCCAGAAUGAAUUGUUUGAGAACUCUACAUACACUUAUGGGGACAGCAAUGAGGUGUUGAAAUUGAAACUGUCCCCAAUAACCUGGAUGCUGUUGGCAAGUCAUACAAGUAAGGUAUGUUUUUCCAUGGCCGAGGACUGUUUAUUCUAAUGCACCCAAGCCAGGAGUAUGAAUUGUGGCCACAAAGAUUGUCCAUGGUACGUGAGGAUUCUAACUGUUGGCCUGGGCAAAUUCCACGAGUUUUUGUUUGGUACUGGGCAUUGAACCUAGGGCUUUCACACUGAGAUACAGUCCCAGCCUUUUUAUUUUUGUUUAUUAUUUUAGUUUUCUUGAGAUAGUGUUGCUAAGUCACUGAGUUGUCCAGAAUAGGCUUGGACUUGCAGCCUUCCUGGUAGGCAGCUUCCCAGUGUGUGCAGUUUUAAACAGUGAUUCCAGACUUCAUACAGCGUGUCUCCUUUUGCGGAAUGGAUAUUGAUUUUGCAGCAUCCUGGCAUAAUCAUUAGUUGGUAAUGCCAGAAUUGGGCAUCUUUUGGGAAUACGAUGAUGGCCUAGUAAGCCUGUGUGCGGGAUAGCUAAGGAAAGGAUGCUUCAGAGGAGCUGGUGUUUAACUAUGUUCAGUGGCCUGGAGCACUGAACCUGCACUUUCCUUCAUUAUGCCCCGUUUUCCAACCACAGUAAUUCUUCCUUUUAUGUUGUUCUACAGCCACAUUAACCCAUUUGCAUCUUCCUGAACUGUAAGUACAUUCUUGCUAGGACCUUCAGGUCUCCCCAGAUCUCUCUCUGGAAGGCUUUUACACACAUUCUCAGUGACCCCUCUGGGCAUCUGUGUAAAUGCAACCCCUUGACUAGCUGCACCCUCUGCCUCUCCUUUGUUGUUCUUCCUUGCACAUCAUCAGCUUAGCUUCAUAACUGUGUUCCUCCUCCCCAGCCGUCUCUAAAUCAUGCAUUCUGUGGACUCAGUGACCUAUUCAGGCCCUGUCCAGACAGAGACUUAGUUCUGUUCUUGCUGUGUGUGGCUGUAACCUCAGGUGUCCUUCAGCCAGGUGAGAUUGCUUUUAUUCUCCCCAAAGCCACAGAGGAUAGAGUUCUUUAGGUCUUUAUCUCUGACACUAGCUUCAUCAUCUGUCUUCCCAACAAGCUGGCAGAAGGAAAUGAUACUUGGAAAGAAAAUUCUGCAGAGUACAUUAAGUUCCACCUUGAUAGGAAAUUGGGAGCCAAGUAGGAGAAUCCGGUUAGCAUUUCUUUUCAAUGAAUUAAAAUGAAUUAAAGACCAUUGAAUUAAAAGCCAGACCUAAUCUUAUGCCUUCCGCCUUUGUGGUUUUUUAAAAUAGAAGAUAGCUGUGUGUUCAGUGUACUUUCGUUUGUGUGCAGAAGGAUACUACCUAUAUUGUAGCUCAUUGUCCCUUACUUAAGGUUCUAUGUGAUGAACUUCUUUUAGACUAUCAUGCCUUGAUUUUUCUCUUAAGAGGAUGGGAUGCCAUUUUUUUCUGAGAAUAAAAAAUAUGUAACUUUGUUUUGUUUUGUCCUGGCUAUGAGAAAGCUUAAAACCACACUUAAUACACAGAUCUGGAAAUUAUAUGUGUUCUAAUGUAUAACAUUUUGCUAUGUCUUGUAUAGGUUGCCUUGAUUUUCUAAUUCUGUUAUAUUUACCUACUUGCAUAUUUGACUUAUAUUUUAAGGUCCCUAAAUCGUCUUUGGAAAGUACCAAGGAAUGACCAAGCAGUUUUUUCUCUCUCCUAAUAUGAGGUGUAGAGCCUUAAAAUUAGUUUUGAAAUUCCCUUGCCCUUUGUGGUUUCAACUUGGGUAACUGCUUGCAGAAAUUUCUGUUUGCUCAAGUGUAAUUUCCAUUUCUUUGGCUAAUAAGCCCAGGGUAGCAAUUUUAGGAUGGUUGCCCACUGGGCAGGGAGGCUGGCACUGGUAAAUUAUCCCAUACCAUUGGAGACAGAGCUCUCACCGAUUUUAUCUGGUUCAUUCUAAUUGUGAGAUUUUCAUCGCAUUUCUGUAGUAGCCUUUAACCAUGUGCUGCUUUAGGGAAACCAGCCAUCUGGCUCCAGAGUAUUAAACCUACUUGCUUAUGAGACAGCAUCUUCUAUGUAAUUGAGGCUGGCUUGAACUUGUUUUAUAGUCCCAGCUGGCCUUAAAACUUGGAAUCCUCCUGUCUCAGCCUCUUGAGUGCUGGAUUAUUACCACCAUGUCUGGCAAGAAAUAAUGUUUUGAUUAUGUUGCAUGAUUAUAUUCAUUUUUUAAAAAUCUUUUUUGAGGCAGGGUUUCACUAUUAUAGUUCAGGCUGGCCUUGAACUUACUUUGUAGUCCAGGCUGGCUUUAACUCCCAGUGAUCCUCCUGCCUCAACCUCAGCCUCCCGAGUGCUGGGAUUACAGAUGUGUACCACUGUGCCCAGCUGAUUAUAUUCUUUUUGACCUACUGCUAAAAAUCAGUGUUUAAUUUUUUUGUUUUCUUUGUUUUUAAUUGCAGGGAGGAUUUAAUCUAACACAAAUACUCUUCCUCUACUCAGACAUAUGAUAAUUUCUCUAUUUCUUAACAGUAAUCAUGGUGAUCUCAAUAUUUCUUAUUAAUGAAUACUUCUUAAGCAUUGCAAACUCUUUAAUUUCAUAGUAAACAGCCUUAUUUCUCUUUCUUAGAUGGAAAAAAAACUAAAAGAAGUGAAAAGAUGUGAGUAUGCUGUUAGGAUUCUAGUAGUACAUCACACUAUUGUAAAAUAGUUCUUCCCAGUUAGAUUCAUCUCACUAACGUCAUGUAGUGUAGAAAGACUCCACUAUUUGGGAGGAAAUUUCCCAAUUGUUAACUACAUUCUGACUCUAUUUUUAUUGUGAUAAAACACAUACAGCAAAUGCCCAGAUUUUCAUCAUUUUUAAGUGUAGAGUUCAGUGGCCUCAAGUUCAUUCAUGCUGUUGUGCAGCCAUCACUGGCACCCACCACUGCAACUUUUUUUUGCAACUUUUUAUUAAAAGCUAAACUGUGUUUAUUAAUUAGUUACCUCAAUUUCUCUGCCCCUCAGCCCCUGGCCACCAAGUUUCUGCUUUCUGUCUGUGACUCUGACCACUCUGAAAACCUCCUAUAAGCAGAAUCACGUACUAUUUGUUUUUUGGCUUAUUUCAUGUCACACAAUAUCCUCAUGGUUACCGUGUAAUAACUUAAAAACUGCCUUCCAUAUGAAGGGUAAUAUCCCAUUGCAUGUAAAUGCCAUAUUUUGUUUAUGCAUUUGUCCGUUGCUGGAUCUAACUCACUUUUGAUAGGGUAGCUCACAAGCUGCAUUUUAAAAUACAAAAUACAGUAGGAAGUGUGUGUCCCUUACUGUCAGUGGCUGGAGCUGCCCAGCGUGCACUCAGGUCAGGCACCUGCAUGAACUGCUGUGUGGUGCUGUUGUGGUUUCCUUGGAUUCCCACUGUUACACAAAGCGUUCUCUAUGCCAUGUUUGUAGGCUUUUCAAGAGAGAAGUCUCCUGGGAGGUGAUAGGUAAACAUUAAACUAGAAACUUCGAAAAAUAUUUCUUCUGCUUUAUUCAGUGCAGGAUGCUUAACUUCAUUACUGCUUAUUAUUGAUUCACAUGGUUAAGAGUUUCAUGAGCUAUUUAUCCUAGAGGUCUUCAUAAAUGGCAAUGUCAAUAAAGAAUGUCGCAUUUCUUUCUUGCUGUUUUCAGGUUGAGUGUAGUAUAGUAGAGAGUAAGAUUAUCUGGAAUAAAACAGCUCUAGAGUCAAACAUUCUGUUUCUGGGUGGCUUGACCAAUUUUAUGCUGUUUAAGAAGAGAUACACCAGCAUCCUUAAGCAGAAUUAGGCCAGGUUAAAGAUGGAGGUAUGUUAGAAAAAAUGUGAUGUAGUGUCAUUUAAAGGUCAUAUUUUUAGCUUGGUGUGGUGGCACAUGCCUAUAAUCUCAACACUCAGAAGGCUGAGGCAGGAGGAUCAUUGUGAGCUUAGGCCAGCCUGAACUGCAUAAUGACACUUUAUCUCAAAAAGACCAAAAAAAAAAAAUCAUGUAUUUUUUCCUGUAGAAUGUAAUUGCUCAAUUCCUUUUCUGUGAGUUUACUAAAUUUACCAAUAAUCUGUUGCAGGUUCUUAUGCUAAUUUUUUUCUCAGUCUCUUAUCUUAGUUAACUUAGGUUCAUAAGAUAAUGGACUGAAAGUGUGUGAUCUGCUAAUUUAAUUUGAUGCAAAGAGGGGAACCAUUGUGAUCAUCUCUGAGUACUUUGUUCUGAAGUUUGGAUGACAGGUAAUUUUUGAUCUGUAGGAGCUCAGAACAGGAAGGAAACAAAAUAUAGGUAUGAAAGAUACUUCCCAAAUGCCAUUUGUUUGUCCAAGAGACAUUUUUACCAGUCUGCAGAAUGUUUUACUGAAGAUCGUUUUUAGAAAUGAACAAAUUAAAACACCAGCAAAAAAACAUGGCUUUUAGUUGUCAAAUGAAUUAUAUCCACCAGACUGUAUAGUUUUAAUGGCUUCUGGUACAAAAUUCAGAGUAACAGUUCAUUUUACAGAUCCAGUUAGGAGUAACUAUGGAAUGCCUGAAAAAACGUAUACCUCGAUAACCAUUUGUUAAAUCUAGUUAAAGAUUUUGGGAGAGGGUUGCAUUCAUUAGUGUGUGCUUGUGUGUGUGUGUGUGACACUAAACUCUGUUCUCAGGUAAUUCAUUUUUAGCAUUUAUUUAUUUAUUUAUUUAUUUCUGCAGUCAGAGUAGAGCUAAACUCUACUACCACUGCUUCUUAGGUCUUUGGGCACAUUUCAUAUUGUGGGCUAGGAAAAAGCAGGAAGAUCAGAUAAACUUGUGAGGCGCAGUUAGUAUAAAAGUAUUGCAGGCUCAUAUUGGUACACUUGGGAGGACCUGAGAGAAUCAGACUUGAGCUACACAGCACCGCAGUUUUUCCAGGGUGUCUCCCUGUGCCCCUUGUACACAAUGAGUAGGCUGUGUCCCAGGAGCUGCCUAGUGCCUGCCUGUAGUGGGGCACAAGUUGACAUCAGCUCAGUAAGUAGGUGCUGUGUAUGCUCCCACAGUUACAACGUCACAAUCUUUGUUUUGAUGUUGAUUUGUUACUUCCUAACAGUUGGACAGCAAUGACCCAGAAUUUUGAUGGAAUCCCUGUGUAGAGAGGAGGACCUGUCAGCCCUGAGGUUAUACAGUUAGUAGUAGAACACAGCUGGGAGUAGAACUCCAGUCCCUCCUCCCACCAGGGCUGUUUAUUCCAAAGAUCAUGGUACACUCCAAUAUAUGAUGCCCAAUCUGAGAACAGCUGGAAGACGAAUGGCAUUCUUUAUUUUCUAUUGUAUUGUACUGAACACAUUCUCUGCUGUCUGUAGUAAAACUUGGCAUAUCUCCCAAGUAGACUGUAAUGCCAUGAGUUAGAAUCUGAAGGAGCACAGUUUUCAUUUGCCUCAGACCUUGUGUACAGGUAUUAUGAUGAUGCAUAAGAAAUACUAAAACUCAGCCUCCUGGAGUGGGGCAGUGGAGUUAUAAAUAUUUGAGAGGGUGUCAGAUGGGCAGGUGGUGUGAAUGCCAGGCUGUGGUGUGCACCCAGACCCGGAAUGGGGUCUGAUCUGUGAUGCACGCUGCAGACUGUGACAGCACCCAGCGUGGGAGCUGCUUGGUAAAGGUUACACAUUUCCUUUCUUCAAGGGUAGAUUGUAAUCAGCCUGUGUGAAGGGCAUUUGGUUUCAAGUAGAUUUUAGUAUGAACCAAAUUUUACCUAAAAGUGCUAUUGAAGACAGUGGUGUGCUGCAGCUAUAGAGGUGGCAUAGUCUGUUUGGCAUCAUUUGCCAUAGUUCCUGUAGCCAUCCAGCUUUCAGAGUUCCUUCUUUUUGAAGAAAGAGCUUCUGGGGUGGCUGUUCCUCACUCACUGUGUAGGGAACUGCCACUGUUGAGAGGUGUGUUUUUACUAUUCAUCUUUUUACUUGUCACCUUGGAUGAGUUCAGUCUCUGGAACCCUAUGUCACUUACAUGUUAGUAGACAGGUGUGGGAUUUCCUGGGCAUAUUACUCUCUUGCUAAAAGGUGACCAUUUAAAACCUUGAAAAAUUCAUGCUUAAAGUAGAAACAAGAAAUUGUGAACUGGAGCUAAGGAUGAAGGCUGGGCUCUUCCUGUGGGAUAUAGAACAGUCUAGUUCAUUGCUGGACAUUGUGUGGACUUAACCUUGUGGGCUUCACAAUGAGCCUGAAUAAAAGCCAUGUCUUAACAGUAGUGAGUCGUAUUGGAUAUUGUGUCUUUGGUAGGAAGAGGGCUUUAUAAGAGGUUGUCUCUUUCAUUGUCAUGUACUCACUUACAUUUUUUCCCUGGUAUUCUUUAAAUGCCUAAACAUGCUUGUUAAACUUUGGAGGAGUUGCUGUUCUCUUACUUUAAAAACAUCAUUUUGUGUUCAAUAACUUUUAUCACUCCAUGUUGUAUGAUUUAAUCCAUGCUGUAUGAUUAAAUUUAUGUUGUCUUUGGAGAUUUCUCUUUCCAGUAAAAUAUGACUCUCCAAUGAAGAUCAUGGGAUUGGUGUGUAGUUUGAAGUACUUAUUACAGCCUGAAUGCUUACCCGCCUCACCGUAUUCACAUGUUGAAAUCCUACCUGCAGUGUGAUGGUGUUUGGAGGUGGGCCUCCAAGAAGUGACUGGGUCCCAGGGUCCCAAGGUGCAGCCCACACAGAAGGAGACGGAAAACAUGCUGUCUCUGUUCUCCACUGUGUGUGGACAGGUGAAUGGACUGACCUCUGUAGACCAGGAAGCAGCCCUCACUAGGCACUGAAUCUGCUGACUCCAUGGUGUUGGACUUCCCAGCAUUCAGGGAAAUAAAUAUUUUUGGUAAGUCACUCAUGCUAUGGUAAAUUUGUGUUAGUAGCCUGAGCUGACUGUGUGCUUUAUUAAAGUAGCACUUGAUUUUAACUUACCUUUAUACCUUUUUCCUAGUAGUUGCAGAGUACUUAAAAAAAAAAAAAAAAGGCAACAGAAAACAAACGAAACAACCACAACACAGUACUCUGAUGUGUCCAGAGAUGCAUUUGUUUCUCUUGCUUGCUUGAGAUUGGGGGUUGGGGCUUGAGGGUUUCUUGUCAACCCACUAAGGCAGUGUACUACUUUAGUCCCUGGCUAAUGAGAAAAGGAUUUUAUAGCCCUCCUUUAUCUUGCGUAAUAAUUUUCACAGUGGCUUUGGCUUUCUUGCACCACAUUAUUUCACCACUCUGUCCUGCAGGCCUAGUGUAUACAAAUAUUUAGUGAAAUAUGAUGUUAGCCCAGACAAAUAGAUUACACACCUUUUUUUUUUUUUUGUGAUUAUAUCUGCUGUGUCUUUUCAUUUGAGAAAAUAUAUGGGCUAUCCUUAUGUUAACAUAUGGUUAUCAUCUUCCUUCCUUCCUAUAUAAUCAUAUUUCUUUAUAUGAAAAUAAAAUUUUUAGUAGCAUUUAUAAAUGCCACCUUAGUAACCGUGGCCUGGCAUGUGAACAUUUUGUAUUUUCUUAUUGUUACUAAUGAAAUUGAUGUAAAAAUGUGAUCUACUGGCAACUUGGCUUGAGAAAAUAGGCUGACUUAGCAGUGGGGAUUUCUGCUCUGUUUCUGUACUCUGAAUUUGAAUGAGCUCUGGGCUUGUCCCGCCUGCUUAGUUGCAUUUAGACUAAGUCUAGAAAAGUGACCUGUCCUAGAGAACCUGUGAAAGUUUACUCUGCCUGCCCCAGAACAGGCCCUGAAUGUGUGCUCUUUUGAAGCAACAGUGCCCUGCUUUGAGGUGGGGACAGAGAGAACCUGGCCAGGCGAGGGAAGGGCAGAGUGCCCCUGAUGCCUCCCAAGGUCCCUAGUCCCAGGACUGCCACUCUCCUGGUUACCUGUGACCUUACUGUGCCGUUGUAUUUGAUGAAGGUCCAAACACUCCCAGGCUCGGCUGAACUGUUCUCCCCAGAACUUAGCGGAAAUUUGACUCAACAGAAGUACAGUAGAAUUGAUAGAAUUUUUCUGCAUAGUUUUUCUAAAUAAUGCUAAGACAUUUUUUCUGGAACAAUGUAUUUUAUUGUUGAAUCUUUCUAACUUCCUUUCAUAGGACUCAAAUUAUUUGAUGCAGUCUUAACAUGUAUACGUGUGUGUACUUGCACACAUGUAUGCACAAGGCAAAUACAGCUAAAUACAACACCCGUGCCCUUCCUUCCUUUCAUGGUGAUACAGUAACUUGAAUCUUUUUCAUUUUGUCUUUUAUUGUCAAGGACUAUUUUUUACAUUUGCCUUUCUCUUGUUAGCUUUUGGCAGUUGUUACAGUUCCAAAUCCAUCAGGAUUCUCUGGGUUCAGUUAUCAAACACAUCAUUAGCAAAAUACAUGGGAUGUAAGGAGACUCAGGAUUAGGCACAGGUUUGAAUGAGUACGAUGAUGUGGAUGAUGAUUUGUGAAUCAGGCAUCUGAGAAUUGAGUUCUAAAGGGAAGGGAUGCUGAGACAAGGACCAGCAGGAAUGCAUUUCAGAGCUUAGAGAAUUUGUGACUUCAUUGGUGGGGGGUUAAAUAUGUCUUUGUACCAAAUAGUUUCCAAUGUGGUGAAAUACAAUUGUGGGACACCAGGUCUGCCAUAGACACCAUUUACUAAGAUCCCAAACAGUGGUCCCCAAUUCAUGUGGAAUGUAGCCCCUUUUCCACCUACCCAGUCUCUUCUCAUCAGCACUUGCAUCUGUGGGUUCCUUCAUCCCUCCAGGCUCAGGGGACUUUGCUCCUACAACAGCUCAGUGCUUUCCCUCUGUUUCCUUGCCUUCCAUUUCUUCCACUUUUGCUUGUCUCCUCCCUUGUGAUCAGCCAGUUCUCAGGCCUCUUUCCCUCCUUCCUGGUCCUAUUAGAAACCCUGCUGUUUACUGUGGACCCAGCAACUUUUGUGAGUGGAGAGUUCUGUCCCAUGCUGUGUGUGGCUGGAGGUUUGGAGGCUGGAGAUCGGGACCCUGCCUUUCUGGCCACUUUCAGAUUGUUACUUUUCCAUGCCCAUCUUGUUCCACUGAGGCUCAUUUCAAUAAUCUUCUGUCCUUGGCCCUUCAAUGCUGUCAUUUCCUGGUUUUAGCCCCCACUGACCAAUUAGGCACUGGAUGACAGACUUCUCUUAGGUGUCUGUGUUUAGCAACACUCCGAGGUGAUGCUAGUAGCAGCCAGAGCUGGGAACCAGCAGUUCCAAUUUGUAUGGGAGUUGGAAAGGUUAGGGUCCAGUCUGGAGACUGAAAAGAUGGCCAGGAUAUAGGAUGUUCAGUGCUCAAACCAGGCUGAGUGCACUACUCUGCAAUUUCUGUUCUAGGUCUUGUUAUACCAGGAGUUGCUGUGAUGUGAAAUUCAGAGAUUCAACCUACUGGCCCAAACAUCCUGCCCUUCAAUUCAUCUAAGCAGGAGUCAGAUUCUUCUUCUGCAGGUCUGUUUCUGGCUCCUGCUUUGACUGUCUGCCAGUCCUGUCCCACUGUACGUUUCCAGUGUGAGCCAGCACUGCAGCUCUGCUACAUCCCUGUGCCUGCUGUCUUGGCUCAUCCCAGCCCAGGAGGCCUAGGUUGCCAGAGGGAGUGGCCCAGAACUCUGUGAGAUCUGUCCCUGCCUCACCUGGGUCUGCACACUUCCUGGAAUUUUCCUUAUCAGCCCUCUCACUUCCUGUAGUGACUUUCCCAACCUUAUGACCACUUUUCUCCUUACAUCUCCAGUUUUGUACUCAGCCACUUCCCUUCUCCUUGUCUCUGCCUGCAGAUGGUCUUGUGUCUUGGAUGAACUGGAUGAAGACGGCUCCUUGUUCUUCCCACUGGCUUUGCACUCCUGCUUCUGUGGCUAUCUUGUUUUACCUUUUUCUUCUUACACUUGGAAGAGGAAUCCUUGUUGCUUUCUAAAAAUCAGCUUUUGCACUCCCUCCCUCCACCCCUUGUGCCUUGUGUUGGUGUUUCCUUCUUUUUAAGCAUUUGUGAAUAUUCAGGCCUCUCCCACCUUAAGACCUAAGAAGAAAAGAGCAGCUCAGCCCUUCUUUAGCUGUCACUUUUAUUCUCCUCUUGGUUAAACUGAGUGAUAUUCUGCUUUUAGGUGUGUGUGGAUUAUCUGUUACUGUGGAAGAGACUAUCACAAAUUUAAUAGUUUAGGCAGCACUCAAUGAUUAUCUUACAGGUUCUCUGGAUUAAGACUCUGAAAGAAAACAGUCUGCAUGUUUGACCUCGUUUCAUUGUACUGAUCUCUUUAAUGAUUCUUUUAAAUGAAAACUGUUUUCCAAAUGCAGAGGACUUAGAAGAGUAGAAUUGUUUUCCAUUUUUAAAGAUGUGUUUCAUAAUCAGCUUUAAUAAAAAAGUAGUUGAGUUCCCACACCUGCUUCUGAUUUCAGUCUGUGAUGACAGUUUGUUUUAGUUGCAGUAUGUACAAAAAAUCCAAUCUCAACAGAUAAAUGAUGGGCAGGUUAGAGAGUUGAAAUGACCUUUUCAGAAAUUGUGUGUUUUCUUUGAUGUCCCACCCAAACUUGACAGGUGAUAAAUAUCUUAGGGUUAGUUACAUCGUGCAUUCUGAAAUUUUAAGUGAUCUUCUCCUAUUCUGAUAUAUCAGAACAUUGCUCUAUUUUCCAUUCUGACUAGGAUACUAAAGGAAUAGUUAAGUCAGUUAUAAUACAUCCAUGUAAUGGCAUACUGUGCAGCCAGAUUGCAAGAAGUAUUUUACCACAGGUGAAAUGCUCACAAAUGUAAUAAUGAAUAAAUGUUAAAAAUGAAGUGUUUGUAUUGUUUUAAAGGAAAUUUACUGAAAUGUGGAUAUAUUUAGUGAUAUAUUCAUGGAUAACUCUUCUUUUCUUUUCUUUUUUUUGAAGUAGGGUUUUGUUUUUAUGUAGUAUACACUGGCCUUGGACUCACUGUGUAACCUCUCAGUAUCCCCGUCCGGCCUCAGAGUGCUUCAGCCUCUCAAGUGCUGAGUACAGAUGUGUGCCACUAUGCCUAGCAAUGUUGUAGUUUCUUUAUACUUCUGUGUGUUUUCCAGUUUUGUGUGAACAAUUCAUUGCUUCUAAAUCAGGGUAGGGGAAAUGUAUUUUUUAAAAUGAGAAAAUAAGGAUGUCUGUUAAACGGAUUUCCUUGUCCAUAGGUUUCCUUAUAUGGGGAAAACAUCAGGAUUGACAACUGUAGCAGCAGUGUUGUUUUUCUUCAAGUUUUUAUUUAUUAAAUGGAUUAAUAUAAUCUUUCUGUGGCUGUCCCAAGCCUUGAAAUUUUUCGUGUUUUAGCAACAAUUUAUUGGUUCAGCAGAGAAAUGUUACUCAGAGUUUAUUCAGGAAAAGUUGUGUGCAUUGACCUCGCACAUGCAGUGGAGACAAAGCUACCUUUUCCCAUUCAUGGCUUCGGACAGCUCUGCUUCUUGUCUGAGGAAGAUGGCAGAGGAUGUCUUGUCCUACCGUGAUAAUGGCACUUCCUGUGUGGUUCAGAAAUAACCUGUACACAGGUAUGUGGUCCCCGUCUUAGCUGUGGUGCCCUAGUCCUGCUGCCAGGGUGUGGGUGUUGUCUGCUUUUCUUCGGUUUUAUGGCCGCAAGUUGAAGUGGUUUCAGAAAUGCAAAAGGCAGCUGGCAUUUGGGGAUUAGUUAGUCACUGCUGACCCUUGGAUUUAGAAAGGAUGUUUGCCAGUGCUUAUCUGGCUACUACUUUGUUCUAAAGAGUUGGCGCUGCCAGACUUUCGUCUCUGGAGAGACAGGAAUCUAAACCUGGUGAUGCUCUGUUGUCCUGUUGUUCAUGUUCCUUAGUUUUACAUUUCUUAUGAUACAAGUAAUUAUUAAGAUGACUGAGGAUGCAAUGAAGCAUCCACAAAGCAUGAAAUAAGCAGCUUUGCAUCCACCACCUGUCAUAUUAUAGCUCAGGGCAUCAUUACUCCGAUGGGUCUGGGGGCUGUGUGGGGCCCAUGGGGGGCCGUGUGGCCGUGUGCGUGGCCCUAUGUGAGUGACUACCAGGGAUUGCAGCCUCUCCCCAUUGUCUACAAAGGCGCAGCUCCCAUCGAAGUGUCAGCUGUGAGAGAGGACUACUUAGUGCAUGUUCAAAUACUGCUUUACAUUAAAAGAGCACUCUGUCCUCUGCUGAAAGCCAUUGUGAAUAUUAUCCUAGUGGUUAAAAGUAUCACUAGGUUUGGAAAUACGCUACUUUCAUUUCCAUCCAGUGUUAAAAGCUAAAUAUUUUGGAGAGUACACUCCAAAUAUACCUAGUGGUUUCUCUUUUUUGUUGAAACUACUAUUUUCAUGUAACUGUUUUUUGAAUCUACCAGUGUCUUUUACAUAUUAGACUUGGUUUAGAUGGAUUUGCAGAUCCUAAAUAAGGAUAUUGAGUGUUACUGUUGUGUUACCAGAACCAAAGACUGCAGAGGCCUCUUACCCUUGCCUGCACUCGUGUUGAGAGUUCAUCCUUCCCUUGGUCUGACUCUUGCCUGUUCUCUGUCCUUCUCACCACUCCCUUGCCCUGGUCCCUCUUGCUGUUUCCAGCUCUGGCCUCUGUCUGCAAAAGCUCUUCCCUGCUUAGCCAGUGGCUGGCCUCUUAGUUCUGCAAUCUUUGCUCAUUAUUGUGGUGACACCAACUGCUUCAGCAGGGAAGUUGGCUGUGACCGUUUAUUUAAAGUAGAAAGUAGCACCCCUCUUUUCACCUAGGUUUCCGCCCACGGCCUUACCGCUGUAUGACACUGAUUUUCUUUGCUUGUUUAUGGUCUGCUGCCUGUGCUGAGUGCAGGUUGUUCAAGGGCAGCAGCUUUGUUUCCUUCACUGCUGAACCCACAGACCCAGAGACAGUGCCUGAGCCUUAGCAUGGAAUAAACACCUAUGAAUUCAUGACAGAAUGGAUCACCUGGUACUGCCUCCUGGGUGACUGAACAAGAUGGUAUUUGCUUUCCAGGUAUUGCAAAGACAGGAUGAAUGGCUGGUUCUGCUUUAGUUUGAUCAGACAGCACCACCACACACACUGUUCCUGACAGGCAGAUGCAGCCAUAUGGGACAGUGCACAGUACAGUAGGGUGUUCAGACAGUUAGCUAUUAAUGCUGACUUCUGUCAGGGGCACUCAGAAUGGUAAUAUGCUAUAGAGGCGGAGAAAGGUGGGGCUUGAAAAACACAAGGAGGUUGGUAGGAAGCAGUUUUCAAUUUCUAAUUAGUAAAUGUUGGGACUUUCAUAACUGGAACUUAAUUUUGAUGAUAGAAAUGAAAGUCUUGUGUGAAUGUCAGUUAGGUUCUUGUUAAAAUAUUGGUUGCAUCAGAUUUUUUCAUAGGCCAACAAAGAGUUGGUAAUAGCUGUUUCAUCCAUGUGCCUAAAACUGUCCCUGUCAUGACUGCCUCCUUGGACCCUCCAUGGAGAUCUUUUACUGACUGUCGCGUGCGAACCACAUCUGACAGUGGGUCUGCCUCUUCAGCCGGAUUUCCUGUCUCCUCCCUGAUUUGACUGGUCCUGGUUUUAGCACCUGUGACUGACCAUUUGGGCCGUCUAAACUAUCUUUUUGGAUCACUGCUCACCCUGCCUGGCCCAAGCCUUGCUUCAGAUGGAGCUUUCACUCUGACUCAUCUCUUUGCACACCACCGCAUACGUCUGGUUCUUCAUAGUACAUGAUAGUGUGUGACGGUCAGAUGAUAUUUGUGUCUUAGUUUGACUCUGUCUUAUAUCUAUUAAAUCACUUAAGCCUUGAGUGUGCUUAAUGAAAAAAGUACAGAAAAGAAAAAAUAAGACAAACAUUUGGCUUUAGAAUCCCGUGGUGACCCCAGUGGAGGGUGCCAAGCACUUAGGAGCACUGGAUAGGCCUGGGGCACAGCACUGUGUGGUGUAGCACCUGCCCUGCCAGCUAAAAUGAAUUUGCGUAGGUGUGGGCUGUGGAUUUACUAGGUUGUGUGAAACUAGAAAGAGGAUGUUUAAGUUUGUAAUCAGUCUCAUUUUUGUCACAUUUAGUGAAGGCUCUUACAGUUUCUUCUUUCACCCCAGCACUGAACAACACAAUUUGAGUCCUCCUGCAAGAGUGAGAAGUCCCUGCAAUUUUGGAUUUUAGUGUCCCCCCAGCUGCCCUGUGUCCCGUCAGAGUGCCCAAGGUGAUGCCUUUAGGGGGUGACAGGCCUGGUGAGGAGGUUGUAGGGUGCAGGGCGGGGUGUUGUGAGGGGAAUGCUCAGUAGCAUUUGGCCUUGCUGGGGUGUGCCAGCCCAAGCACAGCAGGACUCGCGGACCAUGGAUGGAAAUCAGUCAAAAGCUGUGAGCCAGAAUGCACCUCUCUCUGCAAAUUGACCUUACUGCCGGAGGAGUUUGUUGUAAUAAUGGAAUGCUGACUCACACCGAAGCUGUGGACUGAAAGGAUUUAAAUUCAAGGGUUAUUGAAAUUGCUUGGAAUCCUUUGAAGUUACUUUUUUUAAAUAAUAAAAUUAACUUGAAACAUAAAGUAAAAUUAGAAGAAUUAUUAAACUUCCAGUAAUUGUUUGUUCUCCAUAAAAGUUUUGUUUUCCUAAAAUACCACUUAGGGUGGGGCACCUUGGAUCUGCCCAGGUGGUCUGUGCCACAGUGUAGUGAGAGCCCUCAAGGGCAGGCUGCUAGGUGUCUCCACUGUCCCUGGCCCAGUGAUGCUCCCACAGGUUGCACUUGGGAGGUGGUGAGAGGGAGGCAACUGAGCUCAGGCAGAGCUCAGGUCAGAAGGUGAAAUCAGGCUUUUCUAAAGAUGUUUUUCUAAUGGUUUGCUUGACUCCAAAACAGGAAAAGAUAGUUCUGCUUCAUUUUUCUUGUGUCCUGCUCUACAUUUGCAAGGAGUGAAAUGUAUAAUUUUAGAGGCUGGGCUUUUCAGGCUGAAUGACCUUGGGCAAAUUGCUGGCUACUCUGCUGUCAAGAAGGGAACUAAUAACUCCCUCCUGGAACUCCUGGGGACAAUAGAGGAAGUGAAAUAGUGUUUAAAACAUUGCCUGGAAUGCAGUAAGUACUCACAAGUUAACUAGGAGUAGGAGCAGGAUUUUUGUGGGUUACCUUGGAAACCAAGCCAUGAUUGCUAAUGUAAUUUGUUACAAGUUUUAAAGGAUUAAAUAACAAACCAUUUUAAUCAAGAGUUUGCAGUACAGCAUAAAUUCAACCAGGGUGGAGCAAUUAAUAGGGAGAAAUAGAAUGAGAAUUAAUAUUUGGAAUUAAUUAAUGUUAAGAAUUGAUAUUUCCCAAGGUCAGUGAAAACACUUCUGUCACUAUCACCAAUAUAGGUGACUUGAUGUUCACGGAUUGUAUCUUUUCUCCUUACAAAACUUGUUGAGGCAUUUCCUUACCUUAACAUGAUAAUUAAACAUUGAGUAUCUUCUGUGCCUUGGAGGAACUGUAGGAUAUGAAAGAGAAAUGACUCUAGUCCUCAGGUGGCUACAUAUCUAGGAAGGAGACAUCAGGUACACGUGUCCAGCAGUGAUUAAGCAGUUGCAGAUGGGGAGGAGGAGACAAAUCUCAGGACAGAGAUGAAUAGUGGAAGGGCCAUGUUAGACUGUGGAGAUUUGGAAAAGUGAACUUGAGCAGAGAUUAAAAGGUAAGGAUGAGAUGUGGAGACAGAGGCUGGGACAGCUUGGAGAGCCUCUUGGCAAAUAAGGCUCUCCUGUGUGACUGAAGGCAAGUGGGGGAGCUGGUGAAAGAUGUGAGAAGCAGAUCUGGGUCAGAUUGGGUAGGGUGCACUAGAGCUGUGGAGAAUCCAUCAUGGCAGUCACUGGUCCACUUCUGCACGGUUACUGCUGCUGCUUUGUGCUCUCUGCCCCAAACUGUUAGCACCUGGAUAUCUUUGAGAAGUGUAGUGCCAAGGUGGCCUUCUGAGCCCUCACCCUGCAGCUCUGAUGGUGUCACGUACAUCCCUGUGGGAGGCAGGUACCACAGAGUAUAGGGAAGGCUGCCAGUCAGGUCUGAAAGUGGUGUACAGCUUUGCAUUGUCCAGAGCAGGCUCAUUAGUCAGAUUCUGUGACGGACAUGGCUGUUGUGACCUGGACUGACACCUGCAUGCUGAGUGCUGACGAAUAUGUUUCCUUUCUCACAGAAUUCUGGCCAUGCCAGUAACCAUCCAGACACUCAGCAGUCAGCAGUUUUAGAACUUCUCUGCAUUUGGAUGGAGUCACCAUAGAUGAUGAUCAGUUAUAAAUUUCUGAUGUCAAAUCAGCCUUCAGCUGGUUCUAACAGCAGGAAGCCCUCUGGAAAGUCAUUUUAGCCAUGGGUAGUCAAACAGCGCUGCUGUUCAAACUGAGUGCUGGGAAAGGGUUGCACUGUGGCUGCUCUUGCUUUCUUCCUGUGUGGGUCACCUCUGAGGCUGAGAACAUCAUGCAUGGCAGUGUGGAGGCCCAGGUUUAAUCUGGGGUCCGAUGAGUCAUAAAUCUUAGGGACCCCCAUAUUGUUUUGUAUAAUAGCCUAAUAAAAGACAGAUUCCCCAUGUUCUUUUGGGGGAAGGAGGUAUGUGGCUAUGAUGUAUGCAUUGCCCAGUGUGGUGGCGUGUGUGUACAUGUAUGGAGAAGCCGGCAAGAGCAUCCUGAUUAGGGAAAGCCCCCAAUUGCUUUGGCUAGGACUGGGGCAGACUUCUGACCCCAGACACAAGUCACUUGCUACAGGCACAGGGUCUGAGAGUGGCAGAGCUGGGGCUCAGCUUGGAGUUUGAAGCCAUAGUGCUCAGUUAAUUGUAAGGAAAAGUUCAGUAGCAGAUGUUGUGAAGAGUUACAUAAUGCCCAGUGACUCCAAGCCAUCAAAUCGAGUCUUCAUCUUUGCCUUGUACAUCUUAUGAGAAAAUAAAAUUUGGAGUCAAUUAUUUUAAAACUAAGAAGGGCCAAAUAAAACUAAAGAAAGAAAACGUUAGCCUAGGAUACCUUGUAUGUUUUAUAAUCAACUAAGCCAUAAAUUUUGUCAGUGGAAUAUGAUUGUAAGAUUGUAAUGUCAUUAGGAUUCAGUUAAAAUAAUAGAUGUGUUAGUAAAUCUGCUUUCAUUCUGUAAUCCCACAACUCUGGGAGGCUGAGGCAGGAGGAUCACAAGUUAGAGCUUAGAGUAGGCAACUUCACAAUUUGUCAAGAUCCUAUCUCAAAAUGAGAAAGAGGAGGCUGGGGAUGGGACUCAUUAUGAAGACCCUGGAUUCAGUCCCUACUAACAAAAACAAAAACUUAAACUGGCAGUCUACCUCAUAAUCAAUUUUUUCCUUAAGGUGAAGAAUAUUCAGUCUUUUAAAAUUAUUAAAUAGCUGUAUAGUAACAUCCUGUUUUCUGGACAUUUGUCAAUGCUGUUUAUAUCAUUUAGAAUUAUGGUUGCAGUUUUCCAAGUGAAGAGGGAAACUUGGAACUUCUCUAAGUGCAGAGUCAACCAAGCAUAGAUUCCCUCUGGUUUGAGCAGGUAGUGAUGUCUUAAUACUUAAAGGUAGCUUUAAGUAAUAAUGAUAGAUGGAAAUGUGAAACAAGGAACACAAGCCCCAGGUACUGUCUGAACAGGUGGUGUCCAGGGCUCUGCCAGCUGCCAGUGUGCCAUUCGGAGGUAACUUGUUCCACCCUAGGAAAGCACUUGGAGCAGUUACUCUGUGUUUGCUUUUAAUACCCACCCUUGCUGAGUGGUUAGGUGAGGGUGUGUUACUGGCUUGUCUUUAAUCCACUCAAUUACAUGAAUUUGGUUGAAUAUUUAGACUGUUUUCACUUAACAGCCUGUCAGUUCCUGUCUUUACUCACUUUUUUUUUUUUUUUUUUGUGAAGGAUUGGGGAGGGAAUGUGAUUCACGUGAUCCUGUUUUGAAAAGUUCUGUCAGGACUUACUGGCUGCUUGGCUCCCUGGCACUUCCUCUUUCCAACACUGGAGUCUGUGCAGUCCUAUGUUAUGAGUGUUUAUUGCCAUAGGCAGAAUUCCUGGCAUAUUUGAGGCCUGUGCUCUUUAGUUUCUGACGGAGCCUGGAGCCGGGCCGGUUCCAUUCCCUCCUCGCACAGCAGUGGUUCUCUCCUCUCCUUCAUGCCAGCCUUGUGCUGGUGGUAGAGAUCACAACCGCAGCGUACUCCUGCUCCUGACCACCUUCGUGGCUUUCUGUCCUCCUGUCCAGGCUUUGAAUGGAACCUGACAACUUACCUGCUCUGACUUUAGUCAGCUAUUCACCACCCCGUUGAGUAAACAGGCUGAUGCUGGAUGUUCCGUGACUCUCACCCACAACACUGAGGAUGCGGUCAUGUUUCCUGGGAUACUGUAACUCCAGAUCCUUUGCUACAGAACUGUACUGCAUGUCACAAGAGACAGACCUCUGGGGAGGUUCUGUGUGUACCAGAAAUGGAGAGAAAGGGAGGCUGACUCAGGCUCUACAGGAUUAGAAUGGGAAGCUGGUGUCCCAGGUCACUAAAGUGCUGCAGAGGGCCAGGGGAGCUUUGUGAGAAUAUGCCAAGCCAGAAAGAGGUAGAAAUAACAAUUGCUGUUGGGAUUGGCGUCUCAGAGAAUUAAAUGAGAGAAAGAGAAAAAAAAUCUUUUGGUUUUUGUUCGUUUUUGUGACAGUCUCACUGUGUAAUCCAGGCCAAUCUUUGAAAUCACUGUGUCCUCCAUGGUGGCCUCAAACAUAAUGCUUGUCUGCCUCAGCCUUCUGAGUACUGUUACAGGUAUGCACCACUGUACUCAGCAAGAGAGUCUUUACUUUUGGUGACAGUACAUUGUUAUUAGGCAUAACAGUUUUAGUAGUAGUAAUACAGGACUAUUAUAUUUUAUAAAUAAAAGUGAGGUUAUGACUCCAAUUAUGAAGACUCCUAUUAUAGAUGAACUAGAAAACUAAAGCAUCAUUUAAAAUCAUAUUACAUGUGUCCUUAUGUUUAUAUAUUUUGUACUAUAAACUCAGUUGAAAGAUUAUACAGCAAAAUACUUGGAAUCUUAUUUAGCCUGGUUAUCUGUAAGAUUAUAAGCUAUAAAGAGUGAAGAGUCUUAUUUUCAGGUUUUGUUUGAACUCUGAAUUAUCUUGAAAAAAAUUUUAAACAAUUGUUUCUUUUUCCACAGCCUUUUGUUGUAUUUUACUUGGCUUAAUCUAGUUAAAAAGGUAGAACUGUGUUAUUAUUUUUAAUGUUUUUAGAUUAGUUUUGUUGGAAGGAGUAACAAGGCAUAAAAGGAAGUAGUUAGCUGUCAUGAUACAUCUGUACAUCUGUGGUUUAUUAAAGAAGUGUUUCCUGAUUGUUCUUCCAGAAGCAAUUCAUGAGUUCCUUUCUAAUCAGCUGUGAGUAAAGGACAAGUUCUUGUUA
Long non-coding RNA from Cavia porcellus (domestic guinea pig), 33669 nucleotides. RefSeq lists it as uncharacterized. The transcript is spliced from 2 exons. NCBI's taxonomy places the organism in Eukaryota, Metazoa, Chordata, Mammalia, Rodentia, Caviidae. The record is from RefSeq and is a predicted model, not a curated record.